This 21-nucleotide non-coding RNA is filed under the name Caenorhabditis elegans. The record is from RNAcentral. Lineage: Eukaryota; Metazoa; Nematoda; Chromadorea; Rhabditida; Rhabditidae.
UCCGAGAUCAAUUGACUGAUU